RNAcentral lists this ribosomal RNA (301 nucleotides) under uncultured bacterium. Its description in RNAcentral is "partial 16S ribosomal RNA". It matches the Rfam family "Bacterial small subunit ribosomal RNA", at positions 509 to 807 of the family's 1533-position model. The record is from RNAcentral.
CAGUAGCCGCGGGAAUACGGAGGGUGCAAGCGUUAUCCGGAUUUAUUGGGUUUAAAGGGUCCGUAGGCGGACUUAUAAGUCAGUGGUGAAAGCCUGUCGCUUAACGAUAGAACUGCCAUUGAUACUGUAAGUCUUGAGUAUAUUUGAGGUAGCUGGAAUAAGUAGUGUAGCGGUGAAAUGCAUAGAUAUUACUUAGAACAACAAUUGCGAAGGCAGGUUACCAAGAUAUAACUGACGCUGAGGGACGAAAGCGUGGGUAGCGAACAGGAUUAGAUACCCCAGUAGUCCCUGUCUCUUAUAC